This 433-nucleotide ribosomal RNA is filed under the name uncultured bacterium. RNAcentral's name for it is "partial 16S ribosomal RNA". It matches the Rfam family "Bacterial small subunit ribosomal RNA", at positions 29 to 507 of the family's 1533-position model. The record is from RNAcentral.
AACGAACGCUGGCGGCAUGCCUAACACAUGCAAGUCGAACGAGACCUUCGGGCCUAGUGGCGCACGGGUGCGUAACGCGGGGGAACCUGCCCUUAGGUUCGGAAUAACUCCCCGAAAGGGGUGCUAAUACCGGUUAAUGUCAUCGGACCAAAGAUUUAUCGCCAUGGGAUGGGCCCGCGUUGGAUUAGCGAGUUGGUAGGGUAAAAGCCUACCAAGGCGAGGAUCCAGAGCUGGUCGGGGAGGAGGACCAACCGCACUGGGGAUGAGACACGGCCCAGACUCGUACGGAAGGGAGGAGUAGGGAAUAUUAGGCAAGGGGCGAAAGCCUGAUAAAGCCAUGCCGCGUAAGUGAUGAAGGCCUUAGGGUUGUAAAGCUCUUUUACCCGGGAUGUUAAUGACAGUACCGGGAGAAUAAGCACCGGCUAACUACGUG